RNAcentral lists this ribosomal RNA (73 nucleotides) under Heliofungia actiniformis. Its description in RNAcentral is "partial 5.8S ribosomal RNA". It matches the Rfam family "5.8S ribosomal RNA", at positions 10 to 83 of the family's 154-position model. From Rfam's summary of the family: 5.8S ribosomal RNA (5.8S rRNA) is a component of the large subunit of the eukaryotic ribosome. It is transcribed by RNA polymerase I as part of the 45S precursor that also contains 18S and 28S rRNA. Lineage: Eukaryota; Metazoa; Cnidaria; Anthozoa; Scleractinia; Fungiidae. The record is from RNAcentral.
CGGUGGAUCUCUUGGCUCACGCAUCAAUAAAAAACGCAGCCAGCUGCGAUAAGUAUGUGAAUUGCAGAAUUCA